Molecule: small nucleolar RNA, 84 nt
Organism: Cynara cardunculus var. scolymus (artichoke)
Lineage: Eukaryota; Viridiplantae; Streptophyta; Magnoliopsida; Asterales; Asteraceae
Source: RefSeq, a predicted model, not a curated record
GAUUGAUGUGAUGAUUUAUUUACCCAUUUUUGUCUGUACAAUCGGAUGAUGAUCUACAAUACAUGCACUACCAUCUGAUCUUUC